This 460-nucleotide ribosomal RNA is filed under the name uncultured bacterium. RNAcentral describes it as "partial 16S ribosomal RNA". It matches the Rfam family "Bacterial small subunit ribosomal RNA", at positions 338 to 795 of the family's 1533-position model. The record is from RNAcentral.
CCUACGGGAGGCAGCAGUGAGGACUAUUGGUCAAUGGGCUUACGCCUGAACCAGCCAAGUCGCGUGAGGGAAGACUGCCCUAUGGGUUGUAAACCUCUUUUGUCAGGGAGCAACGCCGGCUACGUGUAGCCGGACUGAGAGUACCUGAAGAAAAAGCAUCGGCUAACUCCGUGCCAGCAGCCGCGGUAAUACGGAGGAUGCGAGCGUUAUCCGGAUUUAUUGGGUUUAAAGGGUGCGCAGGCGGGCUGUUAAGCCGGCGGUAAAAAUUCAGGGCUCAACCCUGUCGAGCCGUCGGAACUGGCAGCCUUGAGUGGGCGAGAAGUAUGCGGAAUGCGUGGUGUAGCGGUGAAAUGCAUAGAUAUCACGCAGAACGCCGAUUGCGAAGGCAGCAUACCGGCGCCCGACUGACGCUGAGGCACGAAAGCGUGGGGAUCGAACAGGAUUAGAUACCCUUGUAGUC